CUUGCAGGGUGACAGCCAGACAUGAGUGUCCUGUCCUCCAUGGAGGGAAUUGGAGAAGAUUGAUGUCUACAGCUGACGUGGUCACAAAUCAGCGGCUGUGGAUGUAGGGAUCCGGAGUUACUGCUUGACUUUGUACAAGGCUGGGUCCAUAUCGGCACACGGCGUCCCUUUCCGUGGUGAGACUGCACUGGGUGACAUUAUGUAGUGCACUGAAGACAAGGCAGCAUGCUGUGGUCAUCACUCACAGGAGGACGAAAAGAAGACAUAUAUAUUUGUGGACAGCUUCAUCCUGGAGUUCAUUGUUCUUGUCUACAAUGUAUGAACAAUGAUCAUUAACAGAUGGGUUGCCAUUCAUCAGUUCACCCUCAAAGACACCUUUGGAUGUAAAGGCAACUACUUUAACAUUUAUUGAAAACUAAACUGACUCACAAUAAUCUGAUUCAGCUGUCAAAUGUUUUUAGGUGCAGCAAACCCAAACUAAAGAACGAUGGCACUGG
Long non-coding RNA from Micropterus dolomieu (smallmouth bass), 497 nucleotides. RefSeq lists it as uncharacterized. NCBI's taxonomy places the organism in Eukaryota, Metazoa, Chordata, Actinopteri, Centrarchiformes, Centrarchidae. The record is from RefSeq and is a predicted model, not a curated record. The transcript has 4 exons.